GAGAGAUGGCUGAGCGGUCUAAGGCGACGGUCUCGAAAAUCGUUGUGGGGGCAACCCCACCGAGGGUUCGAAUCCCUCUCUCUCC
RNAcentral lists this transfer RNA (85 nucleotides) under bovine gut metagenome. It matches the Rfam family "tRNA". Rfam says of the family: Transfer RNA (tRNA) molecules are approximately 80 nucleotides in length. Their secondary structure includes four short double-helical elements and three loops (D, anti-codon, and T loops). The record is from RNAcentral.